RNAcentral lists this ribosomal RNA (484 nucleotides) under uncultured bacterium. RNAcentral describes it as "partial 16S ribosomal RNA". It matches the Rfam family "Bacterial small subunit ribosomal RNA", at positions 30 to 507 of the family's 1533-position model. The record is from RNAcentral.
AUUGAACGCCGGCGGCAGGCCUAACACAUGCAAGUCGAGCGGAUGAAGGGAGCUUGCUCCUGGAUUCAGCGGCGGACGGGUGAGUAAUGCCUAGGAAUCUGCCUGGUAGUGGGGGAUAACGUCCGGAAACGGGCGCUAAUACCGCAUACGUCCUGAGGGAGAAGGUGGGGGAUCUUCGGACCUCACGCUAUCAGAUGAGCCUAGGUCGGAUUAGCUAGUUGGUGGGGUAAAGGCCUACCAAGGCGACGAUCCGUAACUGGUCUGAGAGGAUGAUCAGUCACACUGGAACUGAGACACGGUCCAGACUCCUACGGGAGGCAGCAGUGGGGAAUAUUGGACAAUGGGCGAAAGCCUGAUCCAGCCAUGCCGCGUGUGUGAAGAAGGUCUUCGGAUUGUAAAGCACUUUAAGUUGGGAGGAAGGGCAGUAAGUUAAUACCUUGCUGUUUUGACGUUACCAACAGAAUAAGCACCGGCUAACUUCGUG